RNAcentral lists this unclassified non-coding RNA (336 nucleotides) under Hevea brasiliensis (rubber tree). The record is from RNAcentral. Lineage: Eukaryota; Viridiplantae; Streptophyta; Magnoliopsida; Malpighiales; Euphorbiaceae.
CUCUUCUCCUACACUGAACUUGAAGAAGCAACCAGUAAUUUUGACGGCAAAAAAGAGCUUGGAGACGGAGGUUAUGGAACUGUGUAUUAUGGUAGGCUCCGAGAUGGACGAGAGGUUGCAGUCAAGCGCCUGUAUGAGCACAAUUACAGAAGGGUUGAACAAUUCAUGAAUGAAAUCGAAAUCCUCACACGCCUACGCCACAAAAAUCUUGUCACCCUUUAUGGCUGCACUUCCCGUCGCAGCCGUGAGCUCCUGCUUGUAUAUGAAUACAUUCCCAAUGGUACGGUUGCUGAUAAUCUUCAUGGUGAUCGGGCAAAGUCCAGUCCACUAACAUGG